Molecule: long non-coding RNA, 304 nt
Organism: Sinocyclocheilus grahami
Lineage: Eukaryota; Metazoa; Chordata; Actinopteri; Cypriniformes; Cyprinidae
Exons: 2
Source: RefSeq, a predicted model, not a curated record
CCAGUGUCUUCAUAACGUGUGACUGGUGCAGCUGUUGUUCUGUGGCAGAAAGCAGAAGAUGAGUUCGGGAAGGUGGACGCCAUCGUGGUUUCUGUCGGAGUCGACGAGGAGAUCGUCUACGCCAAGUCUACAGCCCUUCAGACGUGGCUGUUCGGGUACGAGCUCACCGACACCAUCAUGCUGUUCUGCGAGACCAGGAUCAUCUUUCUGGCCAGUAAGAAGAAGGUGGAGUUCCUGAAGCAGGUCGCCGUCACGAAAGGCAACGAGAACGCAAACGGGAUUCCUGCGAUCACGCUGCUCGUCC